CUUGGUUCAGAACGAACGCUGGCGGCGUGCUUAACACAUGCAAGUCGAACGCGAAAGGGACUUCGGUCCUGAGUAAAGUGGCGCACGGGUGAGUAACGCGUAGAUAACCUGUCUUCAUGUCUGGAAUAAUACGCCAAAGGGGUACUAAUACCGGAUAUUCUUGCUUUUCAUAAGUUAUGCAAGCAAAGGUGGCCUCUGCAUAUGCUACUGCAUGAAGAGGGGUCUGCGUACCAUUAGCUAGUAGGUGGGGUAAUGGCCUACCUAGGCGACGAUGGUUAGCGGGUCUGAGAGGAUGAUCCGCCACACUGGCACUGGAACACGGGCCAGACUCCUACGGGAGGCAGCAGUGAGGAAUAUUGCGCAAUGGGGAAACCCUGACGCAGCGACGCCGCGUGAGUGAAGGAAGGCCUUCGGGUCGUAAAGCUCUGUCAAGAGGAAAGAAGUGUACAAUGGCUCAUACCUGUUGUAUUUGACGGUACCUCUAAAGGAAGCACCGGCUAACUCCGUGCCAGCCGCCGC
RNAcentral lists this ribosomal RNA (519 nucleotides) under uncultured bacterium. RNAcentral's name for it is "bacterial SSU rRNA". It matches the Rfam family "Bacterial small subunit ribosomal RNA", at positions 18 to 518 of the family's 1533-position model. The record is from RNAcentral.